Molecule: long non-coding RNA, 1725 nt
Organism: Megalobrama amblycephala (Wuchang bream)
Lineage: Eukaryota; Metazoa; Chordata; Actinopteri; Cypriniformes; Xenocyprididae
Exons: 2
Source: RefSeq, a predicted model, not a curated record
UCUUCUAAGAGGAGGUGUGAGGCAGCUGUGGCAUUACAUCAAAAUGUACUUUUCUAAGUUUAGAAAUAAAUCACUCUAACUACAAUGGUUAAUAAUUACAAUAAUGAAAUUUUGUAAAAUACCUCGAAGGGGUUGUGCCAUACAUGAUGGUCUGUACCAUUCCUAUUGUCACCUGAAAUGGACACAAAUUACAGGGGGUAAAAAUGACUUUAGUGAAAGUGAAGGCCAAGUAUUGAUUUUAUAAAUUGUAAUAAUUUUGUUUGUUGAAAGAAAAAGGUGAAAGUGACACGUGAAGGACCAAGUAUGGUAACCCAUACUCAGAAUUUGUCCUCUGCUUUUAUUGUGUAGUAUUUAGAUACAAAUUAUUAGUUUUGCAUGCAUUCAUUAACAUUCAGUUUAACAGUAAAGCUAACAGUUGUAUAGCUUCUUCUUUCUGUUAUUUUAAUAUUUUCAGAUCUUACAGGCUGAGACUGAAUCACAACUACAAGAUGCAGUUGCACAGGCAGCCAGUUUGAUCAGUCUUGCUGGUCACAAUGUUCGCAUAACACUGGGAAACAAACAAGAGACAGCUUUAGACCUGGCUCACUGGUUCAGAGAUGGCUUAAAGUCUUUGGGUGUCCUAGAUGCUCCCCAAAGAUACCCGCUUCAGUUGAGGAGCCUUUUUGUAAAGUCCGAAAAAGCCUCAACAGCAAAUGAUGUGGAGAAUCUCUUCCAGAUCAUUCAUUCAGAAAGAGGGAGUAAUGCAUUUCAGCAUGAGUGCCGGACCCUGGCUUUCUGGCAAGACUAUCUUCAUGAUGCUGAAUGCAAGUUUGGCAUUUCAGAUCGGGUCCUGGAGGGCCAGUGUCCUGCAUAGCAAAGCUCAAACCCUAGUCAAACACACCUAAACUAGGUCUUUAGAGUAACUAGGAAAAUGCAGGUAGGUGAGUUUAGCAGGGUUUGAGCUAAACUCUACAGGAGAGUGGCCCUCCAGGACUGGAUAUGAGGAAUUAUUUAAAGCAAAUGCACAUCCAACACCACAAUAUGUUGUUGUUAUGGCUGUUCUUCUCAUAUUAUAGCUGUAUAUGCUUGCAGCAGACUUGGAGAAAGAUUAGCUUUGUCUAAGACAUUAUGAGCCACCCUUUUAAAUGCAACUACUCAGUUUGACUCACAUCUCUUUUGCAUCAAUCCAGUGGUAUGAUACUGAAUUACUCUAAUUGUUACCCUCUUUUUAUGUUUUUCAGUUGAAAACAGUGUCUCUCUGGAGGAUGUUCUUGUUUUCUUCAGUGGAUUUGACAGCAUUCCAGCUCUGGGUUUCUCUCCAAAGCCAAGCCUUGAGUUCAUUACCCAUUCCCGGUUUCCAGUGGCCAAUACUCGCAAAAAAUAUUCUUUGCAUACCAAUUCAUGCAGUAUACACUGCUUUCAAAGCUGACAUGGAUUUUGCCAUACGCAAUUCACCAGGAUUUGGAAGACAUGAGAGGUAAUAUAGUUGAGGGCUUAUAGAACUUUGGGGGGAAAAAACAUUUUUCUUUAAUUUAUGCUGAUGCUGUUUCAUUUUGUUAUUAUCUGAUUUCAAAAUUCAGUAUUUACCGUAACAAACACAUGAAGUAUACAGAAAAAAGUUAUUUGUUACAUUUAAGGAUAUAUUUAAACCCAUAGUGUUGUGAUCCAAUCUUCCAACCUGAACAAUUAUGUUGCUCUAUUCCAUUGCUCUUUCCAUUGCACAGAUUAAAGCUUGAGUCAUGUUGA